AGAUUAAACAUAAGAGUUUGAUCCUGGCUCAGAUUGAACGCUGGCGGCAUGCUUUACACAUGCAAGUCGAACGGCAGCACGGAGAGCUUGCUCUCUGGUGGCGAGUGGCGAACGGGUGAGUAAUGCAUCGGAACGUACCGAGUAAUGGGGGAUAACUGUCCGAAAGGAUGGCUAAUACCGCAUACGCCCUGAGGGGGAAAGCGGGGGAUCUUAGGACCUCGCGUUAUUUGAGCGGCCGAUGUUGGAUUAGCUAGUUGGUGGGGUAAAGGCCUACCAAGGCGACGAUCCAUAGCGGGUCUGAGAGGAUGAUCCGCCACAUUGGGACUGAGACACGGCCCAAACUCCUACGGGAGGCAGCAGUGGGGAAUUUUGGACAAUGGGGGGAACCCUGAUCCAGCCAUGCCGCGUGUCUGAAGAAGGCCUUCGGGUUGUAAAGGACUUUUGUUAGGGAAGAAAAGCUGGGUGUUAAUACCAUCUAGUGCUGACGGUACCUAAAGAAUAAGCACCGGCUAACUACGUGCCAGCAGCCGCGGUAAUACGUAGGGUGCGAGCGUUAAUCGGAAUUACUGGGCGUAAAGCGAGCGCAGACGGUUAAAUAAGUCAGAUGUGAAAUCCCCGAGCUCAACUUGGGACGUGCAUUUGAAACUGUGUAACUAGAGUGUGUCAGAGGGAGGUAGAAUUCCACGUGUAGCAGUGAAAUGCGUAGAGAUGUGGAGGAAUACCGAUGGCGAAGGCAGCCUCCUGGGAUAACACUGACGUUCAUGCUCGAAAGCGUGGGUAGCAAACAGGAUUAGAUACCCUGGUAGUCCACGCCCUAAACGAUGACAAUUAGCUGUUGGGGUACUAGAUGCCUUAGUAGCGAAGCUAACGCGUGAAAUUGUCCGCCUGGGGAGUACGGUCGCAAGAUUAAAACUCAAAGGAAU
This 923-nucleotide ribosomal RNA is filed under the name Snodgrassella alvi. RNAcentral's name for it is "bacterial SSU rRNA". It matches the Rfam family "Bacterial small subunit ribosomal RNA", at positions 1 to 910 of the family's 1533-position model. The record is from RNAcentral. Lineage: Bacteria; Pseudomonadati; Pseudomonadota; Betaproteobacteria; Neisseriales; Neisseriaceae.